This 360-nucleotide unclassified non-coding RNA is filed under the name Hevea brasiliensis (rubber tree). Lineage: Eukaryota; Viridiplantae; Streptophyta; Magnoliopsida; Malpighiales; Euphorbiaceae. The record is from RNAcentral.
GUGGUUACUGCUCUCACAUUCCUUUGGGCCGAAUCGGGUAAAGGGUUCGGGUCACCGGUUUCUCCGGUUUCUACCUCAUUGCCCGUUUCAUCGUCUGAUAAUGAAGAAAGUCAUGAAGAAAAAAAGAUUAUAGAACGAGAAAAAGCGGUUGCAGAAGCCAUUGAAUGGGGUUCGAAUUCAAGAACUCAAAACGAAAGACUACCAUAAUCUUUCAUAGUGACAUACGUAAAAUUUUGCGCAAACUAAAACAAUAUUAUCGAUUUAAUGUCAUAAUUGUUCGACCUGUAAUUGUAAGUGAGUUCUGAGACUAUAUAGAGUGGUCUUAAAGACUUUAUUAAUUACUUGAUAUCUCAAAAUUAA